AUGGUGAUACCUACAACAUGGCUUCAUACUUUUCUUUUGUGCUAUUUUCUUGUUAGGACGUGGUACAAUUUUGCUGCUGCUAAUUCACCACUUAUCUGUGCUGAAAACCACUCUCGAUUUAGGAAUACACUGGCUUCAGAACACCCUUUCUUAGCAGGUGGAAAACUUGUCAAAAUCCCAAGUACAGCGGAAUUACCAAAUUUAGAAGUGAGGAAACUGCACCGACCAUCUCUGAAGGGAAACACAAGAACCGUAUAUUUGAGAACUGAAUGACUGGAGGACAGUGCGAAGAGCGCUCCGUUUUUUGCUUAUUCAUCGGAGACGGAUCCUGCUCUCAGAAAGAGGAAAACUGCACAACCGGUCUUUCUGCAAAACUCGCGAACACACUAACUUACCGGAGGAGGCUUUAUUUUUUGCUGCACGCGGAGUCAGCAUAGAAGUCUGUGUUUCAGAAAAAAAAAGAAAAAAAAAAUUAAAAAAAUAAAUAAAUAAAUAAAAAAAAAAGAAGUCUGUAUUUCACCUUAAAACAAAGAGAGGCGGCCUCCCCACAGGUCUCGAGUCCGCGGCCGCCGUCCAGCCUCCCGAGGCCGAGGGCCGCGCCGCCUCCACAGCCCGCCCUUCCGCGCCUCACGGGACGGCGCCCGCGUCGCUGCCCCCGGCGCGC
This 664-nucleotide long non-coding RNA is filed under the name Canis lupus familiaris (dog). RNAcentral's name for it is "lncRNA (ENSCAFG00845011426.1)". Lineage: Eukaryota; Metazoa; Chordata; Mammalia; Carnivora; Canidae. The record is from RNAcentral.